This 360-nucleotide long non-coding RNA is filed under the name Gossypium raimondii (Peruvian cotton). Its description in RNAcentral is "long non-coding RNA (GRAI_LNC010419)". Lineage: Eukaryota; Viridiplantae; Streptophyta; Magnoliopsida; Malvales; Malvaceae. The record is from RNAcentral.
GGAGAGCGGUGCUGAAGGUCACUGUUGCGGCGCUCGUGCCAUUUCCGAAACCCUAGGGUUUCCUAUUCGUUUUGGUUUUGGGGAUCUGUUUACGUCGGGUUUAGGGUCUUUUUUUGAAAUUGGGCCUCUGUAACUUGGGUUUGUAACUAUGGACUGAUGGACUUGUUUUUAUUUUUAUUUUUUAUAUAUUUUUGUUUAUUCUGAAUGGGCCCCAGCAAAUUGGGCUAUUACAUGAUUCAAUUGCAUUUCCUUUUCCUGGUAAAUGUUAAUUGUUUUCUCUAGUUGGCAUAUGAUUAAUGCCAGUCUUAUCACACACGUCACAAUUUCUUCUCCGCCACGUUUUAACCUAGCUGAUUCAAU